The sequence is a ribosomal RNA, 457 nucleotides long. It matches the Rfam family "Eukaryotic large subunit ribosomal RNA", at positions 667 to 1109 of the family's 3401-position model.
CAAGGAGUUUAACAUGCGUGCGAGUCGUCGGGACUYGACAAAGCCCACSGGCGCAGCGAAAGCGAGAGAARGUGUCGGGAUCCUCCCCCUUGCGUGGGGAGGCGCACCGACCGCGGCCCCCCCUCCGGGGCGACGGCCGCGAGCACGUACGUUGGGACCCGAAAGAUGGUGAACUAUCCCCGGGCAGGGCGAAGGCGGGGGAAACCCUGCAGGAGGCUCGAAGCGCUUCUGACGUGCAAAUCGAUCGCCAGACCCGGGCAUAGGGGCGAAAGACCAAUCGAACCGUCUGAUAGCUGGUUCCCUCCGAAAUUUCCCUCAGGAUAGCUGGCGCUCGGCGUCCAGUCUCGUCUCGUCGAGCGACUGAUUAGAGGGGAUCGGGGUCUCCAGGGCCUCGACCUAUUCUCAAACUGACAAGAGGCGAAGGGGCCCGCCUUCCUCGUCGGGGAAGGCGGGCACG